UUGCUGUGAUGACUCUCUUAGGACACCUUUGGAGCCAACACCUAUGAAAAAAAAGUUGUUUCUGAGCAAC
This is a small nucleolar RNA of Cuculus canorus (common cuckoo), 70 nucleotides long. RefSeq annotates it as small nucleolar RNA SNORD58. Lineage: Eukaryota; Metazoa; Chordata; Aves; Cuculiformes; Cuculidae. The transcript has a single exon. The record is from RefSeq and is a predicted model, not a curated record.